Molecule: ribosomal RNA, 485 nt
Filed under: uncultured bacterium
Lineage: Bacteria
Description: bacterial SSU rRNA
Rfam family: Bacterial small subunit ribosomal RNA
Source: RNAcentral
GAUGAACGCUAGCUACAGGCUUAACACAUGCAAGUCGGAGGGGCAGCACAGUGUAGCAAUACACGGGUGGCGACCGGCGCACGGGUGCGUAACGCGUAUCCAACCUUCCCGUUACUCUUGGAUAGCCUUCCGAAAGGGAGAUUAAUACAAGAUGGUAUUCAAAUUCCGCAUGUUAUUUGAAUUAAAGAUUUAUCGGUAACGGAUGGGGAUGCGUGACAUUAGAUAGUAGGCGGGGUAACGCCCACCUAGUCUACGAUGUCUAGGGGUUCUGAGAGGAAGGUCCCCCACACUGGAACUGAGACACGGUCCAGACUCCUACGGGAGGCAGCAGUGAGGAAUAUUGGUCAAUGGUCUGACGACUGAACCAGCCAUGCCGCGUGAAGGUCACGGCCCUAUGGGUCUUAAACUUCUUUUGUUAGGGAGCAAUAAGGUCUACGUGUAGAUCGAUGAGAGUACCUUGCGAAUAAGCAUCGGCUAACUCCGUG